This 230-nucleotide ribosomal RNA is filed under the name uncultured bacterium. Its description in RNAcentral is "partial 16S ribosomal RNA". It matches the Rfam family "Bacterial small subunit ribosomal RNA", at positions 15 to 228 of the family's 1533-position model. The record is from RNAcentral.
GAUCCUGGCUCAGGAUGAACGCUGGCGGCGUGCUUAACACAUGCAAGUCGAACGAGAAUCUACUGAAAGAGUUUUCGGACAAUGGAUGUAGAGGAAAGUGGCGGACGGGUGAGUAACGCGUGAGGAACCUGCCUUGAAGAGGGGGGCAACAGUUGGAAACGACUGCUAAUACCGCAUGACGCAUAGGGGUCGCAUGAUCUUUAUGCCAAAGAUUUAUCGCUUCAAGAUGG